CAACUGACCCAGACAAGGCUUGAACAUCGCUACCCACUGCGCCACCGCACAGCUAUUUGACUAAUGAUGUUCCAAGGAAAAGCCAAAAACAUGAUGCGUCUCUCAAGGCUCGAGGUAGAGAGGAUGCUAAUAAGGAAAAGCAAAGUUAACAGCACAAACACUAACCAUAUGCUGCCUCUGCAUGGAUGAAAUCCUGCAAUUCAAAGCAGCUGAUUCCAUUUGGAUGAGUCUCCAGACAUCUGCCAACGAGACACCGGAUCCGCUCAAUUCUCUCUCCGAGCUGAAGAAAUAAAUGCACUUCAACUCUCAGGCCAUUAAAAUGAAGGAUGAACUGCCUAGGGGCCGAUGACCGAGGGUCUUUUUUAAUAGACUUCGGUGCCAGAGGUCCACCAAUGCUGUCAUGCUUUCUCGUCCUGAAGAAUAACCUGCGUCACCUUUGUCAGAUCAUUGGUAAAGCUGUCGUCAAGAUCGGAUAAUUGCUUCCAAUGAUCCCCUAUAUCCUUGUGUUUUGAAACAUUGCUUUUCAGCCACUUCCAAUAAACAAAUACGUCUGUUA
Non-coding RNA from Danio rerio (zebrafish), 556 nucleotides. The record is from RefSeq and is a predicted model, not a curated record. Lineage: Eukaryota; Metazoa; Chordata; Actinopteri; Cypriniformes; Danionidae.